GAAUGUGUGGGUGAUCUGGCUAUGGCAUCUGUUGCCCCAUUGAUCACCAGGGUUGAUUCGGCUGAUCUGGCUGGCUAGGUGGGUGUCCCCUUCCUCCCUCACCACUCCAUGUGCAUCUCUCCCAAAGCUGCACGCUCGGUGGAAGAGGACGACCUUCCCCAAUAGAGGAGGACCGUUCUUUGGUCAAGGGUAUACGAGUAGCUGCGCUCCCCUGCUAGAACCUCCAAACAAGCUCUCAAGAAGAGGAAGUUUGGACACAUGCUAAGAAAGCAUUAGGCAACAGAAAAGGGGAGAAUCCCAGACAAAAGCCCAGUCUCUGCUU
This 322-nucleotide small nuclear RNA is filed under the name Propithecus coquereli (Coquerel's sifaka). RNAcentral describes it as "7SK RNA (ENSPCOG00000004328.1)". It matches the Rfam family "7SK RNA". Rfam says of the family: 7SK was discovered as an abundant small nuclear RNA in the mid-70s but a possible function has only recently been suggested. Two independent studies have found that 7SK RNA binds the CDK9/cyclin T complex (known as elongation factor P-TEFb). The record is from Rfam by way of RNAcentral. Lineage: Eukaryota; Metazoa; Chordata; Mammalia; Primates; Indriidae.